UUUCAUUUGGACUCGAAUCGGUAAAAGCUGUAGGUUUCCAACUUUCGAUGCAUUUUGGUUAGAUGUGGGCCCACGUGUCACUGUAAAAGAAAUUUUAUGCUUUGGUUAUUUGCUUUAUAGUAUAUAUAAAUAUAAUUAACUUUUACGCUAUAAGAAUUAUGUACCGAUAGUUUUAUGAAAAUUAUUUUAUAAGAAAAUAGUUUAUUUUAUUGAAUAUUUUUAUUAUAUUCAAAU
Molecule: long non-coding RNA, 234 nt
Filed under: Theobroma cacao (cacao)
Lineage: Eukaryota; Viridiplantae; Streptophyta; Magnoliopsida; Malvales; Malvaceae
Description: long non-coding RNA (TCAC_LNC003756)
Source: RNAcentral